ACCCAGCUGGCUCAAUUGGUAGAGCAUGUGACUCUUGAUCUCAAGAUCAUGAGUUUGAGCCACACGUUGGGUA
RNAcentral lists this transfer RNA (73 nucleotides) under Ailuropoda melanoleuca (giant panda). It matches the Rfam family "tRNA". From Rfam's summary of the family: Transfer RNA (tRNA) molecules are approximately 80 nucleotides in length. Their secondary structure includes four short double-helical elements and three loops (D, anti-codon, and T loops). Lineage: Eukaryota; Metazoa; Chordata; Mammalia; Carnivora; Ursidae. The record is from Rfam by way of RNAcentral.